Podarcis lilfordi (Lilford's wall lizard) is the source of this 72-nucleotide non-coding RNA. The record is from the annotation of a GenBank genome assembly. Lineage: Eukaryota; Metazoa; Chordata; Lepidosauria; Squamata; Lacertidae.
UCACAGAUCAGUUGGUAGCACAUGAGACUCUUAAUCUUGGGGUUGUGGGUUCGAGUCCCACAUUGGGCAAAA